UUAUCGGUGCCCGCGGGCGGUUCUCGCCCCGGGUUAAACGGGAAACAGGUGCGCGGCCCAUCGCUGGAACGAUGGCCGCAAUGCCUGUGCUGCCCCCGCAACGGUAAGUGCGCGCAAGGCGGAUCACGCAGCCACUGGGACACCCUCCCGGGAAGGCGAUCCGCUGCGACCGGCCCAUCGGCCGGUACAGCGCCCGAGCCCGGAGACCGGCCGAACGCGAUUUGGCGGA
RNAcentral lists this non-coding RNA (229 nucleotides) under Thauera chlorobenzoica. Lineage: Bacteria; Pseudomonadati; Pseudomonadota; Betaproteobacteria; Rhodocyclales; Zoogloeaceae. The record is from RNAcentral.